RNAcentral lists this ribosomal RNA (464 nucleotides) under uncultured bacterium. RNAcentral describes it as "partial 16S ribosomal RNA". It matches the Rfam family "Bacterial small subunit ribosomal RNA", at positions 338 to 794 of the family's 1533-position model. The record is from RNAcentral.
CCUACGGGAGGCAGCAGUGGGGAAUUUUGCGCAAUGCUCGUAAGAGUGACGCAGCGACGCCGCGUGAAUGACGAAGGCCUUCGGGUCGUAAAGUUCUUUCGACAGGGAAGAAAAUGCCUAUAAGUAACUGUGUAUGUAUUGACGGUACCUGUAUAAGCAGCCCCGGCUAACUCCGUGCCAGCAGCCGCGGUAAUACGGAGGGGGCGAGCGUUGUUCGGAGGGACUGGGCGUAAAGAGCACGUAGGCGGUGUUGUAAGUCAUUAGUCAAAGACUAGAGCUCAACUUUAGUAAGGCUAGUGAUACUAUAAUACUAGAGUAGCAGAGAGGAUUGCAGAAGUCCGGGUGUAGCGGUGAAAUGCGUAGAUAUCAGGAGGAAUACCGUUAGCGAAGGCGGCAAUCUGGCUGGAAACUGACGCUGGGGUGCGAAAGCGUGGGUAGCAAACAGGAUUAGAUACCCGAGUAGU